GUGAGGAAUAUUGGACAAUGGGCGCAAGCCUGAUCCAGCCAUGCUGCGUGCAGGAAGACGCAUCUAUGGUGUGUAAACUGCUUUUGUACGGGAAGAAACACUCCCUCGUGAGGGAGCUUGACGGUACCGUAAGAAUAAGGAUCGGCUAACUCCGUGCCAGCAGCCGCGGUAAUACGGAGGAUCCAAGCGUUAUCCGGAAUCAUUGGGUUUAAAGGGUCCGUAGGCGGUUUAAUAAGUCAGUGGUGAAAGCCCAUCGCUCAACGAUGGAACGGCCAUUGAUACUGUUAGACUUGAAUUACAAGGAAGUAACUAGAAUAUGUAGUGUAGCGGUGAAAUGCUUAGAUAUUACAUGGAAUACCAAUUGCGAAGGCAGGUUACUACUUGUGGAUUGACGCUGAUGGACGAAAGCGUGGGGAGCGAACAGGAUUAGAUACCCUAGUAGUCC
Molecule: ribosomal RNA, 445 nt
Filed under: uncultured bacterium
Lineage: Bacteria
Description: partial 16S ribosomal RNA
Rfam family: Bacterial small subunit ribosomal RNA
Source: RNAcentral